UACAGCAACCAUAUCACCCUGCAACUCACAACUGGCAACCCACUGAAGCUAAGCAGGUGUGAGCCUGGUCAGUACCUGGAUGGGAGACCUCCUGGGAAAAACUAAGGUUGCUGCUGGAA
Molecule: ribosomal RNA, 119 nt
Organism: Lepisosteus oculatus (spotted gar)
Lineage: Eukaryota; Metazoa; Chordata; Actinopteri; Semionotiformes; Lepisosteidae
Source: Ensembl